AAAAAAAGUAUUUUGAAGAAAGUUAGUGGAGCCUCAUAAUCCUUCCACUUGGAUAUUGCAACCUAAGAGCAGAUGAACAGCAAGUCGACGACAAGUUUGUGUUGAAAGUUACAAUGCUUUAAAGGACAUAUGAUCUGCUGUGCUUUUCAAAAUCCCCAAAUAGUUAUCAAUGUUUUUGUUUGUCUUGGAACUGCAAUUUUCUAUGAAAAAAAGCCUGGUUUAGUCAAGAUAAGGGACCAAAACCAUACUAGAUUGCCAACAUUCUUGAGGAAACCCCCAUUGUUCUGCUUUGUGCUUGACAUUGAACUGGGCAGGUGUGUCCACAUAAGGUGCAACAGGGAGGAUUUGCAUGCUGGCUUGCUGAAGUGACAGAAUUGUGCAAAAUAACUGCAGUGGUCUGGCAAGCUUCAGGAAGCAGGUGGAUCUGAGGUACCUGUCUCCA
This 442-nucleotide long non-coding RNA is filed under the name Parus major (Great Tit). RNAcentral's name for it is "lncRNA (ENSPMJG00000002698.1)". The record is from RNAcentral. Lineage: Eukaryota; Metazoa; Chordata; Aves; Passeriformes; Paridae.